RNAcentral lists this ribosomal RNA (499 nucleotides) under Vibrio sp. Its description in RNAcentral is "bacterial SSU rRNA". It matches the Rfam family "Bacterial small subunit ribosomal RNA", at positions 77 to 564 of the family's 1533-position model. The record is from RNAcentral. Lineage: Bacteria; Pseudomonadati; Pseudomonadota; Gammaproteobacteria; Vibrionales; Vibrionaceae.
CCUUCGGGGAACGUUAACGGCGUCGAGCGGCGGACGGGUGAGUAAUGCCUGGGAAAUUGCCCUGAUGUGGGGGAUAACCAUUGGAAACGAUGGCUAAUACCGCAUAAUAGCUUCGGCUCAAAGAGGGGGACCUUCGGGCCUCUCGCGUCAGGAUAUGCCCAGGUGGGAUUAGCUAGUUGGUGAGGUAAGGGCUCACCAAGGCGACGAUCCCUAGCUGGUCUGAGAGGAUGAUCAGCCACACUGGAACUGAGACACGGUCCAGACUCCUACGGGAGGCAGCAGUGGGGAAUAUUGCACAAUGGGCGCAAGCCUGAUGCAGCCAUGCCGCGUGUAUGAAGAAGGCCUUCGGGUUGUAAAGUACUUUCAGCAGUGAGGAAGGCGGUGUCGUUAAUAGCGGCCUCGUUUGACGUUAGCUGCAGAAGAAGCACCGGCUAACUCCGUGCCAGCAGCCGCGGUAAUACGGAGGGUGCGAGCGUUAAUCGGAAUUACUGGGCGUAAA